GACUAGAGUUUGAUCCUGGCUCAGAGUGAACGCUGGCGGCGUGCCUAAUACAUGCAAGUCGAACGGAAUUUAAAAGAGCUUGCUCUUUUAAAUUUAGUGGCGCACGGGUGAGUAAUAUAUAGCUAAUCUGCCCCUUGCUGGAGGACAACAGUUAGAAAUGACUGCUAAUACUCCAUACUCCUUUUUACCAUAAGAUAAAUCGGGAAAGAAUUUCGGCAAGGGAUGAGACUAUAUCGUAUCAGCUAGUCGGUGGGGUAACGGCCUACCGAGGCUAUGACGCGUAACUGGUCUGAGAGGAUGAUCAGUCACAUUGGAACUGAGACACGGUCCAAACUCCUACGGGAGGCAGCAGUAGGGAAUAUUGCGCAAUGGGGGAAACCCUGACGCAGCAACGCCGCGUGGAGGAUGACACUUUUCGGAGCGUAAACUCCUUUUGUUAGGGAAGAAUAAUGACGGUACCUAACGAAUAAGCACCGGCUAACUCC
Molecule: ribosomal RNA, 485 nt
Filed under: uncultured bacterium
Lineage: Bacteria
Description: bacterial SSU rRNA
Rfam family: Bacterial small subunit ribosomal RNA
Source: RNAcentral